GAUGAACGCUGGCGGCGUGCUUAACACAUGCAAGUCGAACGGAAAGGCCCAAGCUUGCUUGGGUACUCGAGUGGCGAACGGGUGAGUAACACGUGGGUGAUCUGCCCUGCACUUCGGGAUAAGCCUGGGAAACUGGGUCUAAUACCGGAUAGGACCACUUCUUGGAUGUUGUGGUGGAAAGUUUUUUCGGUGUGGGAUGAGCUCGCGGCCUAUCAGCUUGUUGGUGGGGUAAUGGCCUACCAAGGCGUCGACGGGUAGCCGGCCUGAGAGGGUGUACGGCCACAUUGGGACUGAGAUACGGCCCAGACUCCUACGGGAGGCAGCAGUGGGGAAUAUUGCACAAUGGGCGCAAGCCUGAUGCAGCGACGCCGCGUGGGGGAGGACGGCCUUCGGGUUGUAAACUCCUUUCGCUAGGGACGAAGCGUUUUGUGACGGUACCUGGAGAAGUAGCACCGGCUAACUACGUG
RNAcentral lists this ribosomal RNA (467 nucleotides) under uncultured bacterium. RNAcentral describes it as "partial 16S ribosomal RNA". It matches the Rfam family "Bacterial small subunit ribosomal RNA", at positions 28 to 507 of the family's 1533-position model. The record is from RNAcentral.